RNAcentral lists this ribosomal RNA (253 nucleotides) under uncultured bacterium. RNAcentral describes it as "partial 16S ribosomal RNA". It matches the Rfam family "Bacterial small subunit ribosomal RNA", at positions 524 to 776 of the family's 1533-position model. The record is from RNAcentral.
UACGUAGGGUGCAAGCGUUGUCCGGAAUUAUUGGGCGUAAAGAGCUCGUAGGCGGUUUGUUGCGUCUGCUGUGAAAACUCGGGGCUUAACUCCGGGCCUGCAGUGGGUACGGGCAGACUAGAGUGCGGUAGGGGAGACUGGAAUUCCUGGUGUAGCGGUGAAAUGCGCAGAUAUCAGGAGGAACACCGGUGGUGAAGGCGGGUCUCUGGGCCGUAACUGACGCUGAGGAGCGAAAGCGUGGGGAGCGAACAGG